Long non-coding RNA from Lycium barbarum (goji berry), 4625 nucleotides. RefSeq lists it as uncharacterized. The record is from RefSeq and is a predicted model, not a curated record. Lineage: Eukaryota; Viridiplantae; Streptophyta; Magnoliopsida; Solanales; Solanaceae. The transcript is spliced from 3 exons.
ACAAAAAUACGCGCUCCCACAAAACUUUUGAGAAAAGCCGCAACAAAUGAUACAUGGGUCUCUUGCAGUUGAAAGUUGUUUGAUCCUUCAAUCUGAGGCGUCUACCUUAGGCCAAAUAUCUCUCCGAUCCUUGGAAAAACACUUACCGAAUAUGCUCACCAUAACCGCUGCAUACUCUUGGCCUCUGUGAGGAAUUUAUCCUCUGCCCUAAUUUCACUUACAGUUUUUAUUGAAUUCCUUUGAGUUCUACUUUGGAACUUCAGAAAAAUGAUGAUACAACACGACAAUUUCCUUAUUGCGAUAUUAAUUUGUUUUCUCAAAUCGCCCUGUCAAAAGCAAAUCUGCCUCACAUGCUCAACUUCGGAACAACACCUAUGACAAUCAUGGGAAUUUCCUGGUUCAGUAUUCUAAUUCUAUCAAUUCAAUGAUUUGUACGUUUAUCUUUUAUAGUUUCUCAAACUGCCUUUCUUAGUUAUCCAUCCCGUUUCAAAUUUUAGUCCAUGCCAUAACCUUGACCUAUUAAGUAUUAGAGAAGUGAAGAAAGAUUUGUAGGUUUUCAAAGUUUUUUUUUUUUUCCUUUGGAAAUAUGGAAUAGUAUUAGUUCUUCUACAUUUGUUCUCCAAAGCAACAUUCUAUUAUUGUUUAUAGAAGUCUGUUUCAUUUAGAACAAUUGUGCAUCCGAUAAGGAUUUAACCAAAUCUUACAAGGGUUCUCUCGUAUAUGUUGAAGCACUCUAUACUUUGAGUUCGUUCAUCUAAAUGCUUACACAUAGUUAAAAAAAUAACAUUGAAUCACGAAGAGGACAGAGAGAAAGAGAGUAUGUGCACACGCGUGUUUAUGAAAAUUGCAAGAUUUGACUAUCAUGGGAAUUUUUAUCCUGUUAAAAGAGAAUCUGCCUCAACUCCUCAAUUUCGGUACAACUUACGACAAUCAUGAGAAUUUUCUGGUUCAGUAUUUUAUCAGUUAAUUGAUUUGUAUGUUUAUCUUUGUAUUAUCUGAAUUUCCGACUUAUCAAAUCUUUCGUUACAGUGUGAUUUACUUGGAGGUGGACAUGGAAGGCAUUUAAAGGUUGCUGCAUACUCUGUUAGUAUCUUAUCAGUGUAAACAUGUGCUCCUUUUUUUCCCUUUUCCUCAAUGCUUUUGGCAUUUUGCUCUUACCCUUCUUGGUAAUGCCCUUGUAGUUUCAUUUGGCACUUCCUGGUUACUAUAUUAGUAGCUUACAACAGGUUGAUCUUAGGCAUCAGACCCAGCCAUCACUUGCUCCAAGAUUUCGGGAGCUGAAGUUUUUGUCAAGCUUUAUUCUUUAAUGAUUUGUAAUCAUUUGGCUAUUGGUGAUGAUAAUGUAUGGCAUUCCAAAUUCCCAACCUUGAGGGAUGCAAUAUCUCCUGAUGAAAUUAGGUGAUAGGACACGUCCUUUGAGGAAUAUGCUUUUGACUAUAUACAUUUAGAUCCAUUAAUGGUGGCGUAUAUGUCGAAAAGAAUUAAAAGCCAUUAUUAUGAUGUAAGAUACAUAUCUUCUCAGGAAGGCACUUCCUCAAAGCAAGUUUGAUCACCAAGAGUGAAGGAUGAAGGGCUAAAAGGAGUUUACAGCAUUACGAUGGGAUACAUUGACUACGUCAAAAUUAGUUGUUACUCCAACAAAAUACUAUGCUUCAUUUAUUUGAUUCUGUGAGAAGAGACUUUCAACUUCUUCCUUUACGGAGAUCAUUUGUAUACGCUCUAUCAGAAGUGGUUUGUUAAGUUUAGCUCAUAAACUAACUUAUUUACAUAUUGCAGAAUUUAUGCUUGAAUUACAAUAACAAGAACAUACGCCGUGUAAUCCCACAAAGUGGGAUCUGGGGAGGUUAAAGUAUACGCAGACCGUACCUCAUAGACUCCUUUUUCAAGGUUGAAUGAUGGUCAAAUUUCUUCAUUUCUUUUUUCCCCUACAUUCUUUAGGUAUCUUUCUGUUGAAAGCUGUGAUGCAAGCAAAAUAAGGUUUGUCACAAAACCUUAUAUCUUUAUGUUGAAAGCUGUCCAUUUCUACUUUGUAUCUUAUAUGUGUUUGUCUCCUUCUUUCUUUUUUUUUGGGGGGGGGGAUCCGUAAAAGUUUAAUCAUUUUUUUUAGCAGAUUAACGUUUGCACUUACUGCCAGGAGCACUCAAUUCUGGGAUGAAGAUUUCCAUCGGUCAGAACUCAAAAAACGUGUUAAGUAUAAUGUAACUCUUUGUUCAUAGACGUUGUAAUUAAAUUUGCUCAUACAUAUUCUAGAUACAGCCAGACCUCUCUAUAACGGCACCCGCAUAUAACAACACCUCUCUAUAACAACUAAGAUUUUUUGGAACCGAUUUUUUUAUGUUAUAUUUUACUUCUCUAUAACAGCAUUUCACCUAUAACAUCAACAACCAACUUUAUAGCAGUACGCUCUUUGUAAAAUUAUCUCCCAUAUAACAGCUAUCUUCUUUUUUUGGUAAUAUAAUAAUUAACCAUCUUUAUAAAAUAGAAUAUCUAUGAUUACCAAUAAUAAGAGUAGAAAUUUUGACUAAGUAUUUGAUCAUUUAAUACACUAUUUAUGACAAAAAACAUCAUAUGAGUAUAUAUAUAUUUUCAUCAUUAAACGAUUUUCCUCCUUUAUACAAAGUGUGAUUAAGCUUAAAAUUUGACAAUUAAAAAUAAAAAUUAGAUUUUAUGCAUCUUUUUUGCCUAUAACAGCGAAGUAUUAUUUAAAUGUCAAUGCUAUUAUAUGUAUAUUACAACUGAAAAAUUUCGAACCCAACCAUGCUAUUACAGGGAGGUUAGACUAUAUAUACUAAUAGCAAUUUCACUAUUUACCUUGACAAUACAAUUCUUCCAACUUUAUUUCUAUCAAUAUCUUCAUACAUUGAAGCUCAUCUUAAAAGUUCAUCUCAACAAAAGAGUGAAAUCGCGAGAAGUCUCCUUCAGUUUAAAAUAGUAUUUUGGUGAAGUGAUGGUUGUAGAUGCUGAGCCGCAGACAAGUUGCAACAUAGGAUUCUCCCCCAGAAAUAUUUGGGUGUGUUCUUCGAUUGUUACAUAUAUAUCAUAAUAAGUAGAUGUACUUCAGCCUAUAUUGAAAUCUGGCAAAUUAUAUUUUCUCUUUACUCUUACGCCUGGUGGUUUCUGCGUUUUCUUCUUUUGCCUUUUGGUUAUUAGAGUUAUAUCGAAGAAUGUGGUAAAACGUUGUACGUGGUGCAUUUAAACUUUCGGACAUGGGAGUACUCUUAGUUUUAGUAUGUUUAGUCUAAUUUUGGAAGGAAAACACAUUUUUACUAUAUUUAAAGGGCCGACUUCAAAUAAAUGGAGCAUAGGAAUAGAAUGGAAACAAAGAAAAAUGAAAGAAACAAAAUAACUGGAUGCAACAAGAACCAAAUAUAGUACUUUGAAACAAGGAGAAAGAAAUUAUAGUCUUUUAUCUUUCCCUUCCCAUUUUGAAAUAGGACAUGGUGUAGACUGUAAAGAACGGGAAGGUAAAAUUUUAUGUGUAUGUGAUAUCUAAUUUCCUAGAUUUUUGCAUUAAAAUAUCCCCUAAAUUUCUCCUAAUACGUCUAUUCGUAUUGUUCUAUUUCCUUAUUAAUAGGUGGCAUUCAUAACUGAAACACCACCACUUUAUUCCUGAAACGCUCAAUUUCCUUUCCUUUUUAAUUUCGUUCUAUUUCCCUUCUUCUCAGUUUUGUUUCCUCCCACGCAUAUGCAUUACCCAGAAACUGAGGUAGGCUCUUUCUUUCUUUCUUCCUUUCGUUUUGCCGGAGAAUCAUAGGCAAAGCAGAGAGAGGGAUUACCAAAAGAACUCCCAUAAUCUAUCUGUUGCCUCAUUCUGGCCAUUUCUGGGCUAAUCUAACAAAAGGGAAUACACAAGACUUGAAGGGUCUUUUCGCCCAAUUCUUCUCUUGAGGCUCAGAUCUGUGAUAAAAUCAGGCAAAGAGACAAGCAACCGCCAUGGCUGCGGACACAGAUUGGACUUUUGCGAGUCUUAAGUUGAGUGAUGUAAUUCAUAUAUAAUCCACUAUAUAUUUUAUCCUAAAGUACUAACAUGGGUUAGUUUAAACUACAUGGCGGUCGCGAGUCUCAAGUUGACGGACUGUUUGCUACUCUUUGUGUAUUCUCUGGCUGAAACCUUCUUCCUUAUCGAAUUAUUGGGAAUUUUCAAGUUCCACUAUACUGGCAGAUGCGGAGCCAAAGUUGUAUGUAAGAGAGAUUGGCUUUGGGAGCAAGAAGGUAAAUCGUUCUACGCAUAUUAUAGCUUUGUUUUAUUCUGUUGUAAUGGUGUUCCAAUGAAAAAAUUACCUUUUUUGGUUGUUCUUAUAAGAUUGCAGUGAAUCAGAGUCCGAAGAGGCUGAAAUUGCAGUAGACCGUCAGCCUAUCUUCAUAAACUUGGUUCGCAUUGAUAGGUAAUGUUGUGUAGAAACAAUUAUGAACAAUUGUGGCUAGCUUAUCUAAUGCGUUGAUGCACUCUGUUUAUUUGAAAUUUCAAGGGUAUGUAGCAACUGAAAUGGUUCUUGGUUUUUUAAUUACGGUGGUGAAAAAAAUGUGUGCAUAGCGAGCACAAUAUUUUUAUAAAAUCAUUUAGGAUCGCAGGGGAUAGAUGUAACGAACGUCCAGAAUCUGUGUUUCGACGCCAAUUCCUAUCG